This 1101-nucleotide long non-coding RNA is filed under the name Astyanax mexicanus (Mexican tetra). RNAcentral describes it as "lncRNA (ENSAMXG00005010467.1)". The record is from RNAcentral. Lineage: Eukaryota; Metazoa; Chordata; Actinopteri; Characiformes; Acestrorhamphidae.
AAAGCUGUAUUUCUGCAUUGCACAGUGAAUGCUGUAAGUCAGUGUAAGAACCUUUAUUUCAGAUGGAGACUGGCACAUGGUGACAGCCCCUCGUACAGUGCUCCAGUGUAAGAGUGCGGGGAAAAGGGAGGGUCAGCAGGAUCAGGACGGGGAGUUCUACACCAGCCUGCCAAGAGCACACUUUCUGCGUCCUGGCUAUUUCUGCACUGCAUCAGAGCCCAGUGCGUUCUCCCCCUACAGCCAUGACCUUCACUGCAAGGGUAAAGGGUUGCAGGACCGGAGCCCCAGAGACAGAGAGAGUUAUGGGUGUAUCCCUCCGUCCUCUAGACCACACCCCCUGGCACAGCCCGGCUUCUACAGUCCCAAAAUCCCCCGAUCUAAACACUGUGAACCUGCUUCAUCCCCAACAAACACAACCCCAAAUAAAAACACGAAGGAGUUCAAUUCCUACACUCUGCCUCUUCCGCACACCAGGACUGCUGUUCUCAGUAAGAGUGAUCUCAGCUGCAAACCACAAGGAUUCAAGACUUCACUGGUGGAAAAGCCUCGGUUGAUGCGAGCGACCGUUUCUCAAAUAUCACCAGAUUUAAACCACCUGCCUCAACAGCAGCAACAGCUUCAGCAUAACAGGGAACAGAACAUCCAGAACCAGUACCUCCCCAGUCAGCACCAGCCCCAGACUGCACUAAACAUUCCCAGUACUGAUGAUUCCAGGAAAGAGGAAUCUCCCUGGAAUUACUAUGUUCAACCCCAAUCCAAUUUCAACCAAUUUCACCCCACGCCAAUCAGAAGAUCCCUCAGGGUGCCAAAGCAUGCUCAGGAAUCCUACGAUGACAUCAACCACAGCUACAGGUUUCCACGAAGAGCCUCUUCAAUAAGCGAGUCUAACAUCCACCUGAGAUUACAGUCGUCGAGUUUCUGUCAGCUAAGUGUGUUCAAUGGCAAAAGCUCCCAUAAUACUGAGGAAAGCGAAGCCUAUCUCCAGUCCAGUCCACCACACGCCAACUUUAAAGGAAGAAAUGGUUCCAGUGAUGUUGGAAGCAACUUGUCCAGCAGUAUGAGGUAUGUGCUAGCAUCUUUUUUUAACUUGCAGAAAGAUAG